GGAGAGACGCGGGCGACGCGCUCGCUGCAGUUCGAAGUUUUUCCGUAAGGACGCUCGAAGGCGAGAGAUACCGUAUGUCAUGCGAUAUUUUUCGAUUUUCCACAGGGCUGGGGGGAGAAGGAGGAGGAGGAGGAGGGGAAUGCAAUGGGACAUCUCUGCUGUCUUCGGCGGCCGAUAUUUUACCGGCUUCUGACACCUCGGACAUCUUGUCCACUUUCUCUCUCUCUCACUCUAUUUUCUCUCUCGUUUUUCCAGCUCGUCGGAACCAAUCAAACAGCCGGCCACUAUAGGACAAACCAAUCGGAGCGCUCGGUCCCCGGGCCGGAGAGACCUACUCUUCGCUUAAAUGCCACAUCUAACUCUCACUCUUGUAAGAUUUCAGUUAGCCCACCGCACUAGGACCCCGACCAGAAAAGCAGAGGACCCAGGUUCCAGCCCGAGUAUUUCCAGCCCAGGAAAAAAUAAAAAAUAAAAAAAACUGCCUCGUGCACGUCCACGACUCCCCCCACUCUUAAAAAAAUUUUAAAAUUAAAAAAUCGCCUCGUGGACGUCCACGAGUCCCCACUCUU
Molecule: long non-coding RNA, 569 nt
Organism: Cataglyphis hispanica
Lineage: Eukaryota; Metazoa; Arthropoda; Insecta; Hymenoptera; Formicidae
Exons: 2
Source: RefSeq, a predicted model, not a curated record